GACGAACGCUGGCGGCGUGCUUAACACAUGCAAGUCGAACGGAAAGGCCCUGCUUUUGUGGGGUGCUCGAGUGGCGAACGGGUGAGUAACACGUGAGUAACCUGCCCUUGCCUUUGGGAUAACUUCAGGAAACUGGGGCUAAUACCGGAUAGGACCUCCUGCUGCAUGGUGGGGGUUGGAAGGUUUCGGCGGUUGGGGAUGGACUCGCGGCUUAUCAGCUUGUUGGUGGGGUAGUGGCUUACCAAGGCUUUGACGGGUAGCCGGCCUGAGAGGGUGACCGGCCACAUUGGGACUGAGAUACGGCCCAGACUCCUACGGGAGGCAGCAGUGGGGAAUAUUGCACAAUGGGCGGAAGCCUGAUGCAGCAACGCCGCGUGCGGGAUGACGGCCUUCGGGUUGUAAACCGCUUUCGCCUGUGACGAAGCGUGAGUGACGGUAAUGGGUAAAGAAGCACCGGCUAACUACGUG
RNAcentral lists this ribosomal RNA (468 nucleotides) under uncultured bacterium. Its description in RNAcentral is "partial 16S ribosomal RNA". It matches the Rfam family "Bacterial small subunit ribosomal RNA", at positions 28 to 507 of the family's 1533-position model. The record is from RNAcentral.